AGUGAACGCUGGCGGUAGGCCUAACACAUGCAAGUCGAACGGCAGCACAGUAAGAGCUUGCUCUUACGGGUGGCGAGUGGCGGACGGGUGCGGAAUACAUCGGAAUCUACUUUUUCGUGGGGGAUAACGUAGGGAAACUUACGCUAAUACCGCAUACGACCUACGGGUGAAAGCAGGGGAUCUUCGGACCUUGCGCGAUUGAAUGAGCCGAUGUCGGAUUAGCUAGUUGGCGGGGUAAAGGCCCACCAAGGCGACGAUCCGUAGCUGGUCUGAGAGGAUGAUCAGCCACACUGGAACUGGGACACGGUCCAGACUCCUACGGGAGGCAGCAGUGGGGAAUAUUGGACAAUGGGCGCAAGCCUGAUCCAGCCAUACCGCGUGGGUGAAGAAGGCCUGCGGGUUGUAAAGCCCUUUUGUUGGGAAAGAAAAGCAGCAGGUUAAUACCCCGCUGUUCUGACGGUACCCAAAGAAUAAGCACCGGCUAACUUCGU
Molecule: ribosomal RNA, 491 nt
Filed under: uncultured bacterium
Lineage: Bacteria
Description: partial 16S ribosomal RNA
Rfam family: Bacterial small subunit ribosomal RNA
Source: RNAcentral